AUUUUGCCAUAAAUACGCGCGCGUGCAACGUCGCAAACUCUUUGCAUUCAUGACCGCUGGCAGCGUGACAACAACGGUACCAAACACACCCGAGCAACUGUGGCGGCAGCGCAACUAACUGCAUUUGACUUGGAGGCAGGUCCAGGCAAAUGAUGAAAACUAUCCGCGCAACUGGUCAACCGUUCAAACGCUGUUGAAACGCGAACUUGAGCGGGCGCGCUUCGCAAAGUUUUUUCGCCAAACACACACACACACCCUUACAUAUAUCGUUACAUAUGGCAUGCGUUCGCGGGUGCAAAGUGUUUGAAUUUGCAUAAUGUGUUGAGAGAUCUGUGUUUAUUCGUGAGAAAAUACAUAUUCGUUGGUGCGUUGCCACCGCCUGACUUGCGUGCAAACUGUGAUUGCCGUUGAGACGCGCGCCUACUUGCCCGCCUGUCAGCAGUUGAACUCAUACAUUUGCCGUUACUCGUGUGAUUACUUUGGAAGCGUUGUGUCGCAUUCGCGGUCGUCAAGUCAAGCGCAUUUAUUCAUUCAAUAUUAUUGUGAUUUGCAUGCAGUCGCUAGAGAAUAAUAACAAUAAAAGCGCAUAAAAUCGCUAAGAAAAUGUGCAGUGCGCACACACUUGUGGCUAAACUAAAAAUAAAAAGCAAUCAAUAAGCAAAUAAACAGUGGAAAUUUUAUUAGUGCUAAAGCGAGUGGAAAAAGUGCCAAAUAAACAUUUAAAAUAAACGCCGAAGCGGCAAAAAUACGGAUUUCCGCAAAGCGCGCACUUCAAAGGCUGUUCAAAAUUAUGGCGCCGGCGAAUUCCUCGUCUGAAGCAAGCAGCUGGACAACCAUGCCACCAACAUCUGCGUAUACAAGUGCUAUUAGUGUGGACAGCGCGCUUAAUAAUAGUUCAACUAAUGUGCUUAAUAAUACCUUAAGCGCCGUCAUCGCCACCUCAUUUAAUUACAGUUAUGAGCAGGCACAAAACGCCACGCUACAACACUUUUUCGAUCUCGGUCCGACGCGCGACUCACUAAAAAUCGUCAUACCCGUGACGAUCAUUUACAGUUUGAUAUUCAUCAGCGGUGUCGUCGGCAACAUCAGCACCUGUAUUGUGAUCAAGAAGAAUCGCUCCAUGCACACCGCCACCAAUUACUACCUCUUCAGCUUGGCCAUAUCGGAUUUCCUGCUGUUGCUCUCCGGCGUGCCGCAAGAGAUGUACUUCAUCUGGUCCAAAUACCCGUAUGUCUUUGGUGAAUACUUUUGUAUUGGACGCGGCGUGUUGGCGGAGACUUCGGCGAAUGCAACGGUGCUGACCAUCACCGCUUUCACUGUGGAGCGUUAUAUGGCCAUAUGUCAUCCGUUUCUGGGACAGGCCAUGUCGAAAUUGAGUCGCGCCAUACGCAUUAUUGUGCUCAUCUGGCUGGUGUCGGUGUUGACGGCCAUACCCCAGGCGGCGCAAUUCGGCAUCAUCACGCUGAAUGGCAUCGAGAAGUGCAGCGUUGUGCGCAACAUCAUUCAACACUCAUUUCAGUUGUCCACCUUCAUUUUCUUCUUCGCUCCAAUGUCUAUAAUAUUGGUUUUGUAUUUGCUGAUCGGUUUGCGUUUGCAUCGCUCGAAUUUGAUGGGCGCCACUGGUGAGGCGGGCGGUAGCGGUGGCGGGCGUCGCGGUUUCGGCUGUAUCAGCACUAGCGUGAGCGCUGUAAAUGGUCGCGCAAGAGGUGGCACAGGGAGCAGCAGCGGCGGUGGCGGCGUCGUUAGCAAUGGGAGCGGGAAUGGCAGUGGUCGCCUGUCCUACGGUGGCGCUGGCGGUAGCGGCGUACGCGCUGGUGGUACACGCAAAGGUAGCGAUCGCAUGAGCGCUAAGGCAAGUACACAGAGCGAUACGAUGCUCUAUCGUUAUAUGGGUGGUAGCCAGUUGAGCGCCGUGCGCGGCCGUAUGAAUCACUAUGGAACGCGUCGUGUGAUAAAGAUGCUGGUCGCGGUUGUCAUAUGUUUCUUCUUGUGUUGGGCCCCCUUCCAUGCGCAACGUCUCAUCGCUGUUUAUGGUUUGAACGUUUGGGGUGGCAGCAGUGAGAGUGCCGCCGGCGGUGGGGAGCAUGAUGAGGCCGCUGCAGAUGAUAAGAAUCAUCAUGUGGUGAUAUACACCGUUAUGACCUAUGUGUCGGGAGUGCUUUAUUACCUGUCGACAUGCAUCAAUCCGCUGUUGUAUAAUCUGAUGAGCAACAAGUUUCGGCAGGCAUUCAAGUCGAUUUUACUACGCAAGAAAACAAAUGGUUCGCUCAAUUAUCGACGCACUCAGCAAUCCCAGAAUUUACGCCGUAAUCCUACACUCACUUCGAGCACUCAGCGUGAAUCGAGUGACACGGAUCCACAUUCGAAGCAUUCAAUGUUGCAGGCCGUGUUGACUGAGCGAAACGGGAACAAUAAAAUAAUGCCAUAAACUGGAGAGUUAUAUAUAUAUUUAAGCGUACCUACCUACAUAUAUAUGUUUAUGUAUCUGACAUGAUACUGUCAAAAUACUAGAAGAUAUCAUAGAGUACAAUGGUUUGGAAACCUCAAAAGUCGCAGGAUAUAUGAACCCUAUUCAAAGUGAUUAUAAGGCUACUGACUUUGAACGCUCAUGAGCAAGCACAUGUGGAAGUACUUAAAACUGGAUACUUAUUUAAUUACUGAAUUCAGCAAACAGACAACAACUUAGUAAUUUAAUUCAUUUAUUAUAUGCAGUACUUAUUCACAGCUAUUUAUAUGUAUUUAUUACUAUACAUACCAUUGUACGUAUAUACAUAUUUAAGUGUGUAAUUAGAAACUUAUUGAGAAUUUAUACCCUUUACCGUUAGUCAUAAAAAAAACAACUGUUAACCAUUACUUGGUGUAAAUAUAUUCUUGCCUGUUGUUUAAAAUGUUUCAUAAAAUCUUGCUUUAAAGAAAAAAUAAUAAUUAUUUAGAUUUUUAAUCGCUUCGGAUUACAAAAAUAUGAUAUAUAUAUUCCAGUAAUUUUGUUAUAAGAAAAUUCUACAAAUACAACAAGUUAUAUAUAAUUUAAUAAAGCUUUAAUCGCUAGUCAUUAGCAACGCAUACUUAAAAUGGAUGCCAAAUUGCCUUAACUAAAUUAAACUUGACGAUGUGAAAAUCAAUGGGUUACAAACUAAUUUAUCAAUCUCAGUAAAUUAAUGUGCAUAUAUGUAUGAACUUAGAUAUUAUUUAUAAUUAAUAUGUGAAUAUCAGGAAGAAUAUAUGUUUGUUUACUUCUAAAGAAGCGCUGGCCGAGUGAAUAACUCGUAUAUUAAGUUUAAUGAGCAUAAUUAUUUUUUAAUCGCCACUUUUAUCCUUGUUAAUUUAACCUCAUAACUGUAGGUCAUAGAGUUCUGAACACCUUUCUGUUAACAUUUCAUAACCAACGAUCUCAUACCGAACCCGGUGUGAACCCGAACUGGUAUUAAUUUCUGUUCAACGAAUUCGACAGUUGACAUCAGUCAAGCGUAUGUUUGAUUUUUGAAUGAAAAGAGAGAGAAAAUUAUUUUGACAUGGAGAGUCAUAAAUAUUUUAAGCCAACUUCAAACAAUUGUUGGAUUUUAAAAGUAUAAAAAAUUUCACCAAUGAUUUUGGAUUUUUGUGAAUUUUUUAUUUGUCUGUUUGGGUCUUAACAUACCAGGAAUAUUCAGAUAAAUAAAAUAAACAUAUAUAUCCUUAAGUAAUUAUGAUAAGGAAAGCUGAUAGCUUGUUGAAUUAUAUGAUUUCAAAUAUUUAUAUAUUAGAGAGUACCAAAUCGAACAAACAACUGGUAUAAACUGGCAUAAUGAAAUGGAGAAAAUAUAUCCAACAUUUAUACCACUUUAAAGAGUUAUAAAUUUACUGUAUUAUUUUGAGUUCAGCUGAAUAAAAAUAUAGUUUAUGCCGAAUACCAUUUUUAUGGCAAGGUAAGCAACAAUUGAAAAUAAAUAAUUUAAAAAAAUAAUCUCACACAAAAAGCACUUUGAAUGUAAUUUUAUUAACCAAAUUAUCAUACUGCAUUAAUUUACUGUAAGGUUAUAUACUUUUCAUAUACAUACAUACAUAAAUAUAUAAUAGUCAAAAUCGAGGUCAAAAUUAAAUAAAUAAAAUAUUAUUUUGUAAGUCUCUGGCUCCAUUAUUAUUGUUAUGUCAUUCUCUAGUAAUUUCUAUGGCUUCACUUAUUCCUGCAAUAAUUUAUUGCCAAAUUUGCAUAUGACACAGUUAACUUUAAGUAAAUGUAACCUCACACACGCACACAUC
Molecule: RNA transcript, 4239 nt
Organism: Zeugodacus cucurbitae (melon fly)
Lineage: Eukaryota; Metazoa; Arthropoda; Insecta; Diptera; Tephritidae
Gene: PK1-R
Gene name: pyrokinin-1 receptor
Exons: 5
Source: RefSeq, a predicted model, not a curated record